This 3161-nucleotide long non-coding RNA is filed under the name Homo sapiens (human). RNAcentral's name for it is "LRRC7 antisense RNA 1 (LRRC7-AS1)". Lineage: Eukaryota; Metazoa; Chordata; Mammalia; Primates; Hominidae. The record is from RNAcentral.
GCUUCAGUACCCUGAAUUCAUCUUGUUGAGUAGCUGGGAAGUUUUAUGAAAGAUAUAGCCUGAAUAGCUCAGUAACUCAACUGAAAGACAGAAAGAAAUGUGACUUGGCGAAAACAAAAGAAAGAGCUUCUAGGAUCUGAUGACUCAAAGCAAUACUCUAAGGUGAGCAUCUCAUCAUCCAGCAUUGGGACUGACUGGCUUCGAGACAUACUGGACAUACCAUGCUCUGGUCCCAGCAUCUUAUCCGGUCGUUCGUGGCUUCCUAAGUGAUCACUCCCAGAAGCAUAGUUUUCUAAUGGUAUGUUAUACACCUUAUAUGUACCAAUGUCAAUCUCAUCGAUACUCUGUGACUUUUUGAAUUUAUUAGACUUGAUAUCUUUCAUUAGGGGGGAAAGCCUCUCUGUGCUUUUGCUAAUUGAAAUAACACCUUUAGAAGAUUCCGGGCGGCAGUGGAUUUGAGAAAAGACAUUACUAAGACUCCUGUUGGGAUUGGAAUCAUGAUACUCCCAUGGUACGCCUGGAGAAAAAGGACUAGGUAUUUCAGUAGAUUCCUUUAUAUGUUCUUUCCUUUCAGGCAAUGGGCUGGUAGUGGGGGUUGUCUCUAAUUUGGAAGGAAAAGCGGUCCUGUCUUCAAACGGACUAGGGGUUCUGGUCCAAUUCUGCCAAGGAUUGGAAGGAGGCACUUCUGUUUCUGGUGUGUGUCUGUGUGUAGACUGCUCGAGUUCCAGGGGAACACCAACAAUCCUGUCUUGCCUGAUCAAAGGCCUGCGUCCAUGCGAAGAUGUGCUUCUAGAUUUCGAACUUAAGAGAGGAUUACUGUUGGCAUUCUCGGCUGUGGUUUCCUCAGCAACAAACCCUGUGUUGUCAUAAUGCGAGCCAUCAGUCCAGUUGUCAGUGAAAGUAUCACUCAUGGGCAGCCGGUCAGGACGCUGUGGUAUAUUGCCUGGGGGAACAGCCUCCCGCUGGCUGAGUAAUGGCUUUGAAUCAAGAGGCUGUGGGAAAGAUGGUGCAAUCCUGUGAACACAAUGGGAAGAAGAAAUUGAAAAGGACGAAGAGUUGGGUCUUUGGCAGAAAGAGAACAAGCAGCAAAGAGGGCCAUCAUCCUUUGUUUAACUGAUCAAUAAUCCUCACCUGACUUAUGAUUAAGAUAGUAUUAUUAUUUCAUAUUUUAAAAAUCCAUCCCUUUAUCCUGCUUUAACUUUUUUUUCCUAGUAAUAAUCACCUUCUAAUAUACUAUAUAAUUUACUUAUCUAUUACGUGUAUUGUAUCUUGUGUUGUGUCCUCUGCUAGAAUAUAAACUCACAAUGGUAGAGAUCUUUUUCUCUGCAGGCCUAGACUAAUGCCUGGCACAUAGUAGGUAUUAAAUACACAUUUGUUGAAGGAAUCAAUGAAGGAAAUAUGUAGUUCUUAAGUAAUGGUCUUGAAACCUGACUGAUAAUUAGAAUCAUAUGAUUCCUGAUACCCAUUCCUGGAGAUUCUGAUUUGGUACAUUUCAAACUAUUGGCCGAGAGUACCUUUCUUACAAAUGCUUGGUGUAUCUGAUGAAUCUAAAUUGUCUUCAGAUGACUUUUAUUUGAAGGUCAGGUUUUGAAGACACUAAAUGCUAUUGUAUAGGGAGCAUAUUCAGGUAUGUUUUGUAGAAUGUAAAUUAUAUUAUGACUUUAGAUCACUGACAUGUUUGUACCACUGACCAUGUUAUUUCUAGCAGAUACUGAGAUAAUGCAAAUAAUGAAUUUACAAACUGAAAGAGUUAUGAUUUUUAUUAUGAGCAUCAAUGAUUAGGAAAAGUUACUCAUGAAUUACUAAAGAAGACAUUGCCAACAGUGGCAAUAUUAUCAGUAAAAUAUGAGUAAAAGUUAUUGACUACCUAUAUAACAAUUUUAAUUUGCUAUUUGUAGUGUAAAACAUAGCAACAAGUUACAAAAUGGAAUUAGAACUGGGAAAACAUUGCCUUAUUGAGUCACUUUAUUGUGCUCUGUGUGUGGUUUUUGUUUUUUCAUCUGUAAAAUUAGAGUAAUAUAGAGGAGGAGGCAUUUUGGAAAGAUUAAGUACUUAAAAAUACAUCCUGACUUUUCCAGGUGGUGAUAAAAUUAUGAUGACGAUAGCAAUGAAAAUUUAUUGAACACUUACUCUGGACCAGACACCUAAGUGUUUUACUGGCAUUUUAUUUUAAUUCAUAAUGCCAUUUUGUAUGUUAAAACAUCCAUGUCUCAUCAAUAAGUAUCAGUGGGCAAACACAUUUUUUUUUAUUUUUUAAAUUUUUUGUUCUACCAUCUCAUCCUGUUAACUCCUACCAUGUCUUCCUUAACCAAUGGCCUCUCCCUGUAAGGUGGAUUCAUCUGUUCCUGGCAGUCCCAGGCGAACAACAUUUGCUUACCUGCCCCUUCUGUCUUCUAUGCCACUUGUGUGCCGAAUACAAUUCCAAAAUUAAGAAGAUUCCAUUUUUUAAAAAGUUGCUGAAAAUAAACGUUUGGGAACAAAAGGAGGGAAUUCUAAACACACCUGUUACCCCACAAAGAAUUAUGUACUGCAUCUUUAGCUGUUGUCUGCAAGGACCCCACUUUAACCCGGGUAUUAGAGGAUCCUGAGGAAGCCUGGGAAGGCGAGUAGUCUGAGUAAGUGCCUGAGGAAACACUGUUAUUCAGACAGUGAGUUUUGUCAACUUCAGACUCAUCAGUUGAUUCUGAAAUUUAAAGGGGAAAAUGUUAUAAUGCUAUGACACUGACAAUUACACGGAAAAGCAAGUAUGAAAAAUGGAAACCAUACCGAUUAAGGUUAGAAAUGCAUAUUUGUAAAACAUUUGUAUAGAAUAUGGUGUAUCAUAAUUUACAACUGGCGAUUCAUCAUGCACAUGCAUUUGUAGCAUAUUUUCCACAUUGGGUUCACAGUGUUACCUUUUUUGUCCUUCCCUAGCAGAACAAGUUUGGGUGGGUACAGAGGGGUCUCAGCUAAUGAAGGGUGAAGUUCCCCAAUCCUCAUUUCAUUAGCUGGAUGAACAAAAGAAUCCUGAGAGAUAUAAUAAUACAGGACAAGGAAAGUAAACAUUUAAACAAUGGUUAACCAAAGUGGCAGUAUCUUUAUUUGGCUCAGAUUAAAAAAUGUGACUCUAGAAUUCAGUUCACUGUGAGGCACUGGGAGAAAUAAACCAUAUGUAUCUCUGA